This 251-nucleotide ribosomal RNA is filed under the name uncultured prokaryote. Its description in RNAcentral is "partial 16S ribosomal RNA". It matches the Rfam family "Bacterial small subunit ribosomal RNA", at positions 525 to 775 of the family's 1533-position model. The record is from RNAcentral.
ACGUAGGGUGCGAGCGUUAAUCGGAAUUACUGGGCGUAAAGCGUGCGCAGGCGGUGAUGUAAGACAGAUGUGAAAUCCCCGGGCUCAACCUGGGAACUGCGUUUGUGACUGCAUCACUCGAGUACGGCAGAGGGAGGUGGAAUUCCGCGUGUAGCAGUGAAAUGCGUAGAUAUGCGGAGGAACACCGAUGGCGAAGGCGACACCCUGGGCUGUACCUGACGCUAAGACGCGACAGCACGGGGAGCGAACGG